UACGGAGGAUGCGAGCGUUAAUCGGAAUUACUGGGCGUAAAGGGUGUGCAGGCGGCUGAGUAAGACAGAUGUGAAAUCCCCGGGCUUAACCUGGGAACCGCAUAUGUGACUGCUUGGCUAGAGUGCGUCAGAGGGAGGUGGAAUUCCACGUGUAGCAGUGAAAUGCGUAGAUAUGUGGAAGAACACCGAUGGCGAAGGCAGCUCACUGGACUGCAACUGACACUGAGGCUCGAAAGUGUGGGUAUCAAACAGG
Molecule: ribosomal RNA, 253 nt
Filed under: uncultured Sutterella sp.
Lineage: Bacteria; Pseudomonadati; Pseudomonadota; Betaproteobacteria; Burkholderiales; Sutterellaceae
Description: partial 16S ribosomal RNA
Rfam family: Bacterial small subunit ribosomal RNA
Source: RNAcentral